UACGUAGGGUGCAAGCGUUGUCCGGAAUUAUUGGGCGUAAAGAGCUCGUAGGCGGUCUGUUGCGUCGGCUGUGAAAACCCGGGGCUCAACUCCGGGCCUGCAGCCGAUACGGGCAGACUAGAGUUCGGCAGGGGAGACUGGAAUUCCUGGUGUAGCGGUGAAAUGCGCAGAUAUCAGGAGGAACACCGGUGGCGAAGGCGGGUCUCUGGGCCAUAACUGACGCUGAGGAGCGAAAGCGUGGGGAGCGAACAGG
This 253-nucleotide ribosomal RNA is filed under the name uncultured bacterium. RNAcentral describes it as "partial 16S ribosomal RNA". It matches the Rfam family "Bacterial small subunit ribosomal RNA", at positions 524 to 776 of the family's 1533-position model. The record is from RNAcentral.